AUCCUGGCUCAGGAUGAACGCUAGCGACAGGCUUAACACAUGCAAGUCGAGGGGCAGCGGGAAUUGUAGCAAUCGAUUUGCCGGCGACCGGCGCACGGGUGAGUAACACGUAUGCAACCUGCCCAUCGCAGGGGGAUAAGCGGGGGAAAUUCCGUCUAAUACCGCGUAACAUCAUUUAUAGGCAUCUGUAGAUGAUCAAGAAAUUCGGCGAUGGAUGGGCAUGCGGCGCAUUAGCUAGUCGGCGGGGUAACGGCCCACCGAGGCGACGAUGCGUAGGGGUUCUGAGAGGAAGGUCCCCCACACUGGUACUGAGACACGGACCAGACUCCUACGGGAGGCAGCAGUGAGGAAUAUUGGUCAAUGGGCGAGAGCCUGAACCAGCCAAGUCGCGUGAGGGACGACGGUCCUAUGGAUUGUAAACCUCUUUUGUCGGGGAGCAACGAGACCACGCGUGGUCGAAGGGAGAGUACCCGAAGAAAAAGCAUCGGCUAACUCCGUG
RNAcentral lists this ribosomal RNA (499 nucleotides) under uncultured bacterium. Its description in RNAcentral is "bacterial SSU rRNA". It matches the Rfam family "Bacterial small subunit ribosomal RNA", at positions 16 to 507 of the family's 1533-position model. The record is from RNAcentral.